Molecule: ribosomal RNA, 497 nt
Filed under: uncultured bacterium
Lineage: Bacteria
Description: partial 16S ribosomal RNA
Rfam family: Bacterial small subunit ribosomal RNA
Source: RNAcentral
GAUGAACGCUGGCGGCGUGCCUAAUACAUGCAAGUCGAGCGAACAGAUAAGGAGCUUGUUCCUUUGACGUUAGCGGCGGACGGGUGAGUAACACGUGGGUCACCUACUUAUAAGUCUGGGAUAACUUCGGGACACCGGAGCUUAUACCGGAUAAUAUUUCGAACCGCAUGGUUCGAUAGUGAAAGUUGGCUUUGCUAUCACUUAUCGAUGGACCCGGGCGGUAUUAGCUGGUUGGUAAGGUAAAGGCUUACCAAGGCGAGGAUACGUAGCCGACUUGAGAGAGGGAUCGGCCACACUGGAGCGGAGACGCGGACCAGACGCCUACGAGAGGCAGCAGUAGGGAAUCGGCCGCAGUGGUGGAGAGCCUGACAGAGCGGCGCCGCGUGAGAGGUGGAGGUCUUCGGAGCGUAAAGCUGUGUUAUUAGUGAAGAACAGACUUGGAAGGAGCUGUACACUGCGUGACGGUACCUAAUCAGAAAGCCACGGCUAACUACGUG